GACGAACGCUGGCGGCGUGCUUAACACAUGCAAGUCGAACGGAAAGGCCCUGCUUUUGUGGGGUGCUCGAGUGGCGAACGGGUGAGUAACACGUGAGUAACCUGCCCUUGGCUUUGGGAUAACUUCAGGAAACUGGGGAUAAUACCGGAUAGGAGCUCCUGAUGCAUGGUGGGGGUUGGAAAGUUUCGUCGGUUUGGGAUCGACUCUCGGGUUAUCAGCUUGUUGGUGGGGUAGUGGCUUACCAGGGCUUUGGCGGGUAGCCGGCCUGGGAGGGUGAACGGCCACAUGGGGCCUGAGAGACGGCCCAGACUCCUACGGGAGGCAGCAGUGGGGAAUAUUGCACAAUGGGCGGAAGCCUGAUGCAGCAACGCCGCGUGCGUGAUGACGGCCUUCGGGUUGUAAACCGCUUUCGCCUGUGACGAAGCGUGAGUGACGGUAAUGGGUAAAGAAGCACCGGCUAACUACGUG
Molecule: ribosomal RNA, 468 nt
Filed under: uncultured bacterium
Lineage: Bacteria
Description: partial 16S ribosomal RNA
Rfam family: Bacterial small subunit ribosomal RNA
Source: RNAcentral